GAUGAACGCUGGCGGCGUGCUUAACACAUGCAAGUCGAACGGAAAGGCCCAAGCUUGCUUGGGUACUCGAGUGGCGAACGGGUGAGUAACACGUGGGUGAUCUGCCCUGCACUUCGGGAUAAGCCUGGGAAACUGGGUCUAAUACCGGAUAGGACCACAUUUUGGAUGGUGUGGUGGAAAGUUUUUCGGUGUGGGAUGAGCUCGCGGCCUAUCAGCUUGUUGGUGGGGUAAUGGCCUACCAAGGCGUCGACGGGUAGCCGGCCUGAGAGGGUGUACGGCCACAUUGGGACUGAGAUACGGCCCAGACUCCUACGGGAGGCAGCAGUGGGGAAUAUUGCACAAUGGGCGCAAGCCUGAUGCAGCGAGGCCGCGUGGGGGAUGACGGCCUUCGGGUUGUAAACUCCUUUCGCUAGGGACGAAGCGCAAGUGACGGUACCUGGAGAAGAAGCACCGGCUAACUACGUG
Molecule: ribosomal RNA, 465 nt
Filed under: uncultured bacterium
Lineage: Bacteria
Description: partial 16S ribosomal RNA
Rfam family: Bacterial small subunit ribosomal RNA
Source: RNAcentral